RNAcentral lists this ribosomal RNA (468 nucleotides) under uncultured bacterium. RNAcentral's name for it is "partial 16S ribosomal RNA". It matches the Rfam family "Bacterial small subunit ribosomal RNA", at positions 28 to 507 of the family's 1533-position model. The record is from RNAcentral.
GACGAACGCUGGCGGCGUGCUUAACACAUGCAAGUCGAACGGAAAGGCCCUGCUUUUGUGGGGUGCUCGAGUGGCGAACGGGUGAGUAACACGUGAGUAACCUGCCCUUGACUUUGGGAUAACUUCAGGAAACUGGGGCUAAUACCGGAUAGGAGCUCCUGCUGCAUGGUGGGGGUUGGAUAUUUUGGGCGGUUGGGGAUGGACUCGCGGCUUAUCAGCUUGUUGGUGGGGGAGUGGCUUACCAAGGCUUUGACGGGUAGCCGGCCUGGGAGGGUGACCGGCCACAUUGGGACUGAGAGACGGCCCAGGCUCCUACGGGGGGCAGCAGUGGGGAAUAUUGCACAAUGGGCGGAAGCCUGAUGCAGCAACGCCGCGUGCGGGAUGACGGCCUUCGGGUUGUAAACCGCUUUCGCCUGUGACGAAGCGUGAGUGACGGUAAUGGGUAAAGAAGCACCGGCUAACUACGUG